Molecule: ribosomal RNA, 433 nt
Filed under: uncultured bacterium
Lineage: Bacteria
Description: partial 16S ribosomal RNA
Rfam family: Bacterial small subunit ribosomal RNA
Source: RNAcentral
AACGAACGCUGGCGGCAUGCCUAACACAUGCAAGUCGAACGAAGCCUUCGGGCUUAGUGGCGCACGGGUGCGUAACGCGUGGGAAUCUGCCCCUUGCUUCGGAAUAACAGUUAGAAAUGACUGCUAAUACCGGAUGAAGUCCUCGGACCAAAGAUCUAACGGGAAGGGAUGAGCAGGCGUAGGAUUAGGUAGUCGGGGGGGUAAAGGCCUACCAAGCCGACGUUACUUAGCUGGUCUGAGAGGCUGAUCAGCCACACUGGGACUGAGACACGGCGCAGACUCCUACGGGAGGCAGCAGUGGGGGAUACUGGACAAUGGACUCAAGUCUGAUCCAGCUAUGCCGCGUGAGUGAUGAAGUCCUUAGGGUUGUAAAGCUCUUUUACCAGGGAUGAUAAUGACGGUACCUGAAGAAUAAGCUCCGGCUAACUCCGUG